AUCCAACUGACGAGUCCGAAACAGGACACAAUGCGCGUCCUGAAU
Molecule: non-coding RNA, 45 nt
Filed under: Schistosoma bovis
Lineage: Eukaryota; Metazoa; Platyhelminthes; Trematoda; Strigeidida; Schistosomatidae
Also listed under: 1 other name
Source: RNAcentral